Molecule: small nucleolar RNA, 131 nt
Organism: Acipenser ruthenus (sterlet)
Lineage: Eukaryota; Metazoa; Chordata; Actinopteri; Acipenseriformes; Acipenseridae
Product: small nucleolar RNA SNORA68
Exons: 1
Source: RefSeq, a predicted model, not a curated record
AAUGCACACAAAACCCAAAGAACAUUGUUUUAUCUAAUAAUGCUCUUGCCUGAUGUGCAGAUAUUAAACGCUACCUUGUCGCCUUUCAUUUGCUGCUGUGCUACUGAAAGUGAAAUCAAGGUUCAACACUU